CGCGAACUGGGCCACCCGGGAGCCGGGUCCGGCCCCGAACCGGGCGAGGGCCGCGAUCGUGUUCGCGAAGUUGGCGU
Molecule: transfer RNA, 77 nt
Filed under: Streptomyces sp. AVP053U2
Lineage: Bacteria; Bacillati; Actinomycetota; Actinomycetes; Kitasatosporales; Streptomycetaceae
Description: tRNA-Arg
Source: RNAcentral